CAAAGUCAAACGCAGUGGACAUUGUUGGUUUAAUACUAACCUUUUCAAUUCGGGUCAACCAAUAACUACUACCUAGUGAGGUUGUCAAUAUUGUUAAUCACUAGGAUGUGCUAUUUUACAAUGUCUGGAGACGUAUGGUGAUUUGUGGUCUGGAUGUGUUUGAUACUUUGUUCAAUCAUGAGUUUCAGAGAUUGUAUGCUCUCAGCAAACAAUAUUUAUCUAUUAAAAAUUUCUUUGUCCAUCAUUUUGUUUAGUGCAUAACACAUUUCUUGUGUUUGACUGGUCACAAAUGUCCAGUAACAGGAGACUGGGCCCUAGUCUUCAAGAUUUAGAAGAGGAAAUGCCUUUGCAUGCUGAUACCUGUCUAUUCUUGAAAGAAUAAUGAAUUGAUCAAUAAAGUUCUCUCCGCCACAAAUUAUCUACAAUUAAUGGACAAAAAUUUAUUCACCUUGUCCUGGACAUGGUAUAAUGCAUCUUUUGGACCUUAAUCUGGUCCUCAGUCCAGCACUCUACCUAUUCAAAUCUUUUCUAUCUUGCCAAAACCUGCCUGAUCUUGUGCUCAGUUAGAUUAAUAGAGAAAGAAUCCUUUGAAGGAACUUAAACCAUGAAUGAGGCAUCAGAAAAAGGUGUUUUGCAACAGUUGUCUCAAGUAAAUGAAGCAAAACAUUCCCUCAACAAUCCACCUAGGAGUCCAUGUCAAUUCAAUUAUUAACUAUAAAAUUUGGUAGCAUAUUUUAGUGGCACAACACACACACAUAAACAAACACACACAUCCCUUUAGUUCAGAUUACAGCUGGCUAGGUGCCUUGGAAAGCACAAAGGAAACCAAAGAUAUAUAAAGCAGUCUCUGUAGGUGAGAUUAUCCAUUUUUUAAGAUUUAUGCCAAGUUGCAGUACGUGGUUAAAAGUAAAGAAGGCUGGCAGACACUGAUUUGAAACUAUUAGUAAAUCCAUUAUCCAGCUAAUGAUACAAAACCACAGUGCUUAUCCCUUUGACAAAGGUACCUACAAUUGCUAAAAAUACAUAUUUUCAAUACAAUUUGCUGCCUGCAGUAAAUUUUAGUUCCAUAUUUGGAAAGACAAGAAUUUUCUCUGGGUUUAAGUUUUUAAAAGAACUUUUUGGGCAUCCUUUAUAAAGGUAAAAUAUGCACAGACUAUAAAUUUUCCUUUAUAUAUUGUAGCUGUUACUUGUUCUAUUUUGCUGCUUACAUCUUAUUUAGUCUGCCUCCAUGCCUAAGAAAACCAACUGAAAAGUUCAAAAGUCAUACCUGACUUGAAAACUUCAAAUGAUGGGGACCUCAAAGAGAAUUUACUAUCUCGUGGGCAGUAUCUAUGCAAUCAGAAAAGCCAUCUGCAUCUUCCUUAUUAAUAACCUUACAGAAUGCUUGUCUAACAAUGUCAGACAUCCUGUAAGCUCCCCAGCAUCUCCCUUCUCCAGCAAGAAAUCGAGUGACUGUUGUAACCACAAGGCAGAACAAGAAUUGCUUAUAAGCCUGUCUCUAUUUGGGUUCGGCACGGAACUUGAUCCAGAGAUCCAUUCUGGCUGGUGAAUAAACUGCUUUCUAAAUUGCAAACACCUUGGCUGUCCUGAAUUUUAUUGCCUGGGCUAUUUCAACACAGAAAAAACAGGUCAGCUUAUACU
Molecule: long non-coding RNA, 1641 nt
Organism: Sarcophilus harrisii (Tasmanian devil)
Lineage: Eukaryota; Metazoa; Chordata; Mammalia; Dasyuromorphia; Dasyuridae
Exons: 3
Source: RefSeq, a predicted model, not a curated record